UGACGAGUGGCGGACGGGUGAGUAAUGUCUGGGAAACUGCCUGAUGGAGGGGGAGUAACUACUGGAAACGGUAGCUAAUACCGCAUAACGUCGCAAGACCAAAGAGGGGGACCUUCGGGCCUCUUGCCAUCGGAUGUGCCCAGAUGGGAUUAGCUAGUUGGUGGGGUAACGGCCCACCAAGGCGACGAUCCAUAGCCGGCCUGAGAGGGUGAACGGCCACAUUGGGACUGAGACACGGCCCAGACUCCUACGGGAGGCAGCAUG
Molecule: ribosomal RNA, 264 nt
Filed under: uncultured bacterium
Lineage: Bacteria
Description: partial 16S ribosomal RNA
Rfam family: Bacterial small subunit ribosomal RNA
Source: RNAcentral